CCCUGCUCAGGACGAACGCUGGCGGCAGGCUUAACACAUGCAAGUCGAGCGGGCGUAGCAAUACGUCAGCGGCAGACGGGUGAGUAACGCGUGGGAACGUACCUUUUGGUUCGGAACAACACAGGGAAACUUGUGCUAAUACCGGAUAAGCCCUUACGGGGAAAGAUUUAUCGCCGAAAGAUCGGCCCGCGUCUGAUUAGCUAGUUGGUGAGGUAAUGGCUCACCAAGGCGACGAUCAGUAGCUGGUCUGAGAGGAUGAUCAGCCACAUUGGGACUGAGACACGGCCCAAACUCCUACGGGAGGCAGCAGUGGGGAAUAUUGGACAAUGGGCGCAAGCCUGAUCCAGCCAUGCCGCGUGAGUGAUGAAGGCCCUAGGGUUGUAAAGCUCUUUUGUGCGGGAAGAUAAUGACGGUACCGCAAGAAUAAGCCCCGGCA
This 436-nucleotide ribosomal RNA is filed under the name uncultured bacterium. RNAcentral describes it as "bacterial SSU rRNA". It matches the Rfam family "Bacterial small subunit ribosomal RNA", at positions 18 to 498 of the family's 1533-position model. The record is from RNAcentral.